CAGUCGCACAAAAGCCUGCAGAGUGGAGGCAGAACCACCUCAGACUUGCAACAGGAUUCAUCUCAAAAUAGGUCAUGAUUUUGCUGAGUCAGCCCCAGUGGCAGAACAGCAUCCAAGCAAUGUGAACGCACCAUGCGAGGUCACAGUCUUUGCAACACCUGCCGAUAGUUAUCCAAUCACCUUCAGCCACCAUAAAACUGCUGUGCUGGUGUGUUUGGUGAGGCUGGCUAACAGGAUUUGCAUGCAGCAGGAAAGACGGUACCGGAUGAUGAAAUCUUUUUAACAGCAAAAAAAGAUUAGAAGCUACCUACAAUGCUGUCUGCGAUUGGAGACUGGAGGCUGUCUUUGCUAAAAGCCGUGGUUGUCCUUCAUAAUUACACUGCAGCCGCACUUGAGGCCACAGUGGUAAUUUGUCAGUGCAGUGAAAGUGCUUUGGAAAUUGCACUUGUUUUCACUCACGGUUUAGCCUUCGUCCUAUCAGCCAUGCUGCAAGUCAAUGCAUUCUUCAGGUUGACGUUGCAAGGUUUACUCUCAUGUGCUCCCAGUCUGCUGCCUUUGCCCUGGUUCAGCUGGCACUGUCUACCCCGUCAACACUGCAAGGCUGCGUCAGACCCGCUGUCUCUGUCAUUCUGACUUUACAUGGAUGCAUCAGCCCCUUGCUGUCUACCAUGUGAACUGUCACUGGCCACAGACUCUUGCCAUAAUCUGGGACCUGCCAUCUCUUCAAAGUUUCCCCUGAAGAUGCAACAAUGUUUUUAAGGAAAUUACUUGAACAUCUUUUAAUUUCCAUGGACAAAAUUAUUCCAGGAUUGUCUUUAAUGCUAAUUUUAAAGUCACAAUUUUAAUUUGAAUAAAAUUACUGUGAAAUAUUUGCUGUCUAUUUUGUAAUCAACCACAAUGUUUGGUUAUACAUCCACCAACAUCCUCCAGACAAACUCAGACACUUAAGAGAAGUAUUUGACACUUUAUUGCAUCGGCUCCACUAAUAAAUAGUGCCCCACUCCCUCAGUAAACCAAUAGUUUUCCAACAGAUGUUGCUCGGAUUUGGUGCAGUUCCCUUGUCAAUGCUUCCAGUCAACAAACCAACUGAAAACCCGUUUGAUUACUCGGGUAACUAAAUGACCUGUAAAGCUGUCCAGUUUUCCAACCAAUUGUUUCACCGGCUCAGAAAAAGCUCAAUAUUGAAAAGUAAAUGCGAAGGCUAUGGAUAGACAGUGUGCGCCGAAAUUGCAGUUAAGGCUUGAUUGUAACAGUAAGAUAAAUGUCUCAACCUAGACUAAGAAAUGCAACAGGAAAAUAAAAGAAACACAAGCAGCCUUUAUCUUGUCGGUACACAGCUAUGUGUAUGUAACUCUGCUCUCUCCUUGGUUUAUGAAAGACAGACAUUUGAAAGAGAACGUGCAGCUAACAUCUGAACUACUAUUCAAACAAAUGGCUACAGUAAGACUUACUGCUGCAUAAUUGUGUUUAUGUCCCCUUGGGCCUUGGGACGGGCCACUUCACUCCACACAAUCCAACAGCACUGACACACAUUUGGCUAAAAAACAAUGCAAGAUGAACAUAUAAAUGUUUUGGUUUCAAACUGCCAAAACCAUAGUAAAGUGUAGCCAUCUUUUUUUCUGGUUUGACAGGACAUUUUAAAUGACACAUUCAUAUUUCAAAUCAAAGAGUAACUACAAUAAUAUAAAAUUUCUUUCAUAUGAAAACAAAACAAAACAAAACAAAACAUAACAAAGAAUGACGUAGCUAUAAAUGGUCCCGAUAUUGCAAUCACAGUAGUCGUGGUGGCAGGGUGUGGGGUGGCAACAAGGUGCAGCUUCUACUCAGGUAAGCAACUUCACUUCAUGUAGUUCCACUGUAAACUGAGACGGCAAAUCAGCGAUAAGGUCUCUCUCUUCAGCAGCGAGGAAACACAGGUCAGCAAAGAAUCAGAGACAGGAUUGUACACACUAAGAAAGGUGCGGUCAGACUAAGACCUACUGAAAAUAAUAAAAAAAAAAGCAGCAUUAUUCACACUUUAUUUAAAGAAAACGAACUGGAGAGAAAUCCUUCUAGAUUGGUAGGCCACUUAAGUUGAUUAUGCAACUAGCUAGGUCUGUAGUAGCUAUUAUAUCCUGAUGAUAGAGUCUGAGAUAUUUUAUAUAUUACCGGCUUCUUCGGGUAAACAGGCUAUAGUACCGUACCCCAAAAGACAGCAACAUUUUACACAGUAGUGUAUUAAGAGCUUUACAAUGAUGUGUGUCAUGAUCUGAGUCAGUUAAAAUGCUGCUCCUACGAUAGUGUGUAAAGCUGUAAUGCAAGAUCAGUUUUUUUUUUGUUUUGUUUUUGUUUUAAUUUCACACUGCCAGUGUUUUGAUAUCCAUCUUCAUCAGGGCAUAGAUAUCAAAAUGUGACACUGUGAAGAUAAAAAAUUAUAAUGCAUAACUAUUAUUUUGGAGUUGGCACCUAACUCAUUUUGUUGUGUGUUGCUGCCCUUCACCUACUUUUUAAGUCUGAGAGAAAAUCUGAUUCAAACCUGUCAAAUAAACCUUUCUACAUGAUUGCAAUCACAGCAAAGCUGAGUGACCUAUGGCUUGGAAUGGUUUAAGAUGGUCAUUUACUUCAAAGCGGAGUAAAGACUUCAAAAUGAUUAGCUGCCAAAAAAGGUGAUCCCAACCCACUAAAAAUCAUUGCACUAUAGAAAAAAGGAACCAGUAACUUCAUCACGGUCUUUUUCACAUGGACCUUCACCCACACUUAACCCUUUCAUCUACUAAUGGCCCCAACAGGCUCUCUACAUAAUCAAAAUAAUCAGCGCAAAUAAACGUACGAUUUACUGACAAGCUUUCAGCAUGGCUGUGAAGGAAGAAUCCAAAAUGGCCCAGUAACAGACUUUAUGUCAGUUGCUAUGGGUUCACUCACCCAGAUGAACGAUCAAAGCGUUUACUAUUAGUACCAGCCCAAACCUUGCCACCACUGACAAAACAACUUCUUUAACAAUGAUGCCAAAGGCGUUCGAGAAAAGAGACAGUGAGAUGCAGAUAAGAUGCAACUGUUAGAUACACAAUGUUUUACGUAAAAGACUGCAUUAAAAAGAGCCAGGACACAAGACACAUAAAACGGGAAAUCGUCCUCUCUUGGUGUCUGUGUGCAGCUGUUUUUCGGCGCUGUCUGUAUGUGGAUUUCAAUAUGUGUCCGCGAGGCUUUUCUAGGUGAUGAAGGGUGCGCUUCACUCCACUGUCACUGACUUGGCCAGGUUUCUUGGGCAGUCCACCUGUAUUAAAAGAGAAGAAAUCACUUGCUGCAUGACAGGCAACAGUUGUGCAAAUACGCUUCUGCUGUUGACAAAGUGCUAUUGUGAAACCUCCAAGCAAAAGACAAAAUCGUCACAAAAUCCCAUUUUAAUGACAGAACCACUUUUACUCUCCUCAAAUUCUGCCCUCAUCACAUGGACUCCAUAGAUACUGUGAGAUUCGGAGGAAGGUGGGUGGGCGUGCGAUUGAAUUGCGUGCACAUAAAUGUUUGCCUCUCGGUCAGAACGGCAGCACGAUCUGGCACAGUCGGCAACAGUCUUUCCAUUACUCAAAAAUAACAGCUAACAGG
Molecule: long non-coding RNA, 3582 nt
Organism: Myripristis murdjan (pinecone soldierfish)
Lineage: Eukaryota; Metazoa; Chordata; Actinopteri; Holocentriformes; Holocentridae
Source: Ensembl